UUCUUAUCAAGAGAGGGGGAGGGACUGGCCCAAUGAACUCUCAGCAACCUGACAGAUGUCAAGGUGCUAAAUCCAGACAGGCGAAGCGCCUGGAAGAUAAGAA
Molecule: non-coding RNA, 103 nt
Filed under: Geobacillus sp.
Lineage: Bacteria; Bacillati; Bacillota; Bacilli; Caryophanales; Anoxybacillaceae
Description: SAM-I sequence
Rfam family: SAM riboswitch aptamer (S box leader)
About the family: The SAM riboswitch is found upstream of a number of genes which code for proteins involved in methionine or cysteine biosynthesis in Gram-positive bacteria. The SAM riboswitch acts at the level of transcription termination control.
Source: RNAcentral